GGGCAGGUGCCCGAGCGAUCAAAGGGAGCAGACUGUAAAUCUGCCGGCCUAGCGCCUACGGAGGUUUAAGUCCUCCCCUGCCCACCA
This 87-nucleotide transfer RNA is filed under the name Candidatus Brocadiia bacterium. RNAcentral describes it as "tRNA-Tyr". It matches the Rfam family "tRNA". From Rfam's summary of the family: Transfer RNA (tRNA) molecules are approximately 80 nucleotides in length. Their secondary structure includes four short double-helical elements and three loops (D, anti-codon, and T loops). Further hydrogen bonds mediate the characteristic L-shaped molecular structure. tRNAs have two regions of fundamental functional importance: the anti-codon, which is responsible for specific mRNA codon recognition, and the 3' end, to which the tRNAs corresponding amino acid is attached (by aminoacyl-tRNA synthetases). tRNAs cope with the degeneracy of the genetic code in two manners: having more than one tRNA (with a specific anti-codon) for a particular amino acid; and 'wobble' base-pairing, i.e. permitting non-standard base-pairing at the 3rd anti-codon position. The record is from RNAcentral. Lineage: Bacteria; Pseudomonadati; Planctomycetota; Candidatus Brocadiia.